RNAcentral lists this ribosomal RNA (239 nucleotides) under Salmonella enterica subsp. enterica serovar Typhimurium. RNAcentral describes it as "partial 23S ribosomal RNA". It matches the Rfam family "Bacterial large subunit ribosomal RNA", at positions 1163 to 1319 of the family's 2925-position model. Lineage: Bacteria; Pseudomonadati; Pseudomonadota; Gammaproteobacteria; Enterobacterales; Enterobacteriaceae. The record is from RNAcentral.
GCGGAAGAUGUAACGGGGCUAAACCAUGCACCGAAGCUGCGGCAGCGAACGUAUCACUUAAAGCGAUUCAGCGGGUUACGAUUGACGGAGCGAAGCGACGUCAAAGCGUAUACAAAGUCGAGUCGGUUUAAGGAUACGUUCGUUGGGUAGGGGAGCGUUCUGUAAGCCCGUGAAGGUGGCCUGUGAGGGUUGCUGGAGGUAUCAGAAGUGCGAAUGCUGACAUAAGUAACGAUAAAGCG